Molecule: transfer RNA, 74 nt
Filed under: Alphaproteobacteria bacterium
Lineage: Bacteria; Pseudomonadati; Pseudomonadota; Alphaproteobacteria
Also listed under: 1 other name
Description: tRNA-Ala
Rfam family: tRNA
About the family: Transfer RNA (tRNA) molecules are approximately 80 nucleotides in length.
Source: RNAcentral
GGGGACAUCGUUCAAAGGGAGGACUUCUGGCCUGCAACCAGAAAAUCUCGGUUCGAGUCCGAGUGUCUCCACCA